Molecule: ribosomal RNA, 497 nt
Filed under: uncultured bacterium
Lineage: Bacteria
Description: partial 16S ribosomal RNA
Rfam family: Bacterial small subunit ribosomal RNA
Source: RNAcentral
GAUGAACGCUGGCGGCGUGCCUAAUACAUGCAAGUCGAGCGAACAGACGAGGAGCUUGCUCCUCUGACGUUAGCGGCGGACGGGUGAGUAACACGUGGAUAACCUACCUAUAAGACUGGGAUAACUUCGGGAAACCGGAGCUAAUACCGGAUAAUAUAUUGAACCGCAUGGUUCAAUAGUGAAAGACGGUUUUGCUGACACUUAUAGAUGGAUCCGCGCCGCAUUAGCUAGUUGGUAAGGUAACGGCUUACCAAGGCAACGAUGCGUAACCGACCUGAGAGGGUGAUCGGCCACACUGGAACUGAGACACGGUCCAGACUCCUACGGGAGGCAGCAGUAGGGAAUCUUCCGCAAUGGGCGAAAGCCUGACGGAGCAACGCCGCGUGAGUGAUGAAGGUCUUCGGAUCGUAAAACUCUGUUAUUAGGGAAGAACAAAUGUGUAAGUAACUAUGCACGUCUUGACGGUACCUAAUCAGAAAGCCACGGCUAACUACGUG